AGCCCUGUAUGUGAAAACAUCGUGGUGGUACUGAGCGUACGAUAAGUAGGGCGGGACACGUGAAAUCCUGUCUGAAGAUGGGGGGACCAUCCUCCAAGGCUAAAUACUCGUGAUCGACCGAUAGUGAACCAGUACCGUGAGGGAAAGGCGAAAAGAACCCCGGGAGGGGAGUGAAAUAGAUCCUGAAACCGCAUGCAUACAAACAGUGGGAGCCUCGAAAGGGGUGACUGCGUACCUUUUGUAUAAUGGGUCAGCGACUUACGUUCAGUAGCGAGCUUAACCGAAUAGGGGAGGCGUAGCGAAAGCGAGUCUGAAUAGGGCGAUUCAGUUGCUGGGCGUAGACCCGAAACCAGAUGAUCUAUCCAUGGCCAGGAUGAAGGUGCCGUAACAGGUACUGGAGGUCCGAACCCACUAAUGUUGAAAAAUUAGGGGAUGAGCUGUGGAUAGGGGUGAAAGGCUAAACAAAUCUGGAAAUAGCUGGUUCUCCCCGAAAACUAUUUAGGUAGUGCCUCAUGUAUCACUCUCGGGGGUAGAGCACUGUAAUGGUUGGGGGGGUCAUUGCGAUCUACCCCGCCAUAGCAAACUCCGAAUACCGAGAAGUGCGAGCAUGGGAGACAGACGGUGGGUGCUAACGUCCAUCGUCAAGAGGGAAACAACCCAGACCGCCAGCUAAGGCCCCAAAUGCGUGGCUAAGUGGAAAACGAGGUGGGAAGGCAUAGACAGCCAGGAGGUUGGCUUAGAAGCAGCCAUCCUUUAAAGAAAGCGUAAUAGCUCACUGGUCGAGUCGUCCUGCGCGGAAGAUGUAACGGGGCUCAAGCCACGAGCCGAAGCUGCGGAUAUGUCGUAAGACAUAUGGUAGGGGAGCGUUCUGUAAGUCUGCGAAGGUGUCUGGUAACGGAUGCUGGAGAUAUCAGAAGUGCGAAUGCUGACAUGAGUAGCGAUAAAGCGGGUGAAAGGCCCGCUCGCCGAAAGCCCAAGGUUUCCUACGCAACGUUCAUCGGCGUAGGGUGAGUCGGCUCCUAAGGCGAGGCCGAAAGGCGUAGUCGAUGGGAAACAGGUCAAUAUUCCUGUACCAGUCCAUGAUGCGAUGGGGGGACGGAGAAGGUUAUAGCAGCCGGGUGUUGGACGUCCCGGUUUAAGCAGGUAGGCGUGCUGCGUAGGCAAAUCCGCGCGGCUUAGCCGAGAUGUGAUGACGAGGACCCACGUGGUCCGAAGUGCUAGAUACCACGCUUCCAAGAAAAGCCUCUAAGCUUCAGUCAUGGAUUGACCGUACCGCAAACCGACACAGGUGGGCAGGAUGAAAAUUCUCAGGCGCUUGAGAGAACCCAGGAGAAGGAACUCGGCAAAUUGAUACCGUAACUUCGGGAGAAGGUAUGCCCCUCGUACGUGAAGUCCCUCGCGGAUGGAGCGGAAAGGGGUCGCAGAGAAUCGGUGGCUGCGACUGUUUAAUAAAAACACAGCACUCUGCAAACACGAAAGUGGACGUAUAGGGUGUGACGCCUGCCCGGUGCCGGAAGGUUAAAUGAUGGGGUGCAAGCUCUUGAUUGAAGCCCCGGUAAACGGCGGCCGUAACUAUAACGGUCCUAAGGUAGCGAAAUUCCUUGUCGGGUAAGUUCC
Molecule: ribosomal RNA, 1617 nt
Filed under: freshwater metagenome
Description: bacterial LSU rRNA
Rfam family: Bacterial large subunit ribosomal RNA
Source: RNAcentral